AUGAAGGAAAGUAAAACCAAAAUAUAAUGUUAUCCAAUCUCAAGUUAUUAUAUUCCUCAUCCAAAAAGACACCUUGUAAAUCCAUAUAUAUAACAUGGCAUAUAACGCCCUAAACCUCUCUACAACAUCCCCACCAUAUUUUGUAGCUUAUAAAGGCUCAAAAGGAAGUUUGUGCAGAAGAAGAGAAAUUGAUCAAUGGAGGCAAACAAAAGAAAACUUCGAGGCUUCAUGAAAGGGAAAUUGAUGCCUUUCUACAAGCAAUACAAUGGAAGCAAAACAAAGCAAACUGGAUAACCCCAGUCGGGACACGACUGCCACUCGUGGCUCGUUAAGUCAGUCUGAUCAUUCAUACGGAAUUGUAGCUGAAGAAGGUGUUGAUGUAAAGGCAGCAAAUUAUAUUUCCUCCACGUUAGCACGAUUCAAAAGCUUGAAUGAGUUACCUCAUCCGAUAGAAAUGUCGUCGAUUCCAUUGCCCCACCAAUAGAUUUGAGGACCUUGUUUUAUUUAUGUUGGGGUUUACUACUUGAUUAUUAUUCUAAGUGGACUUAAGCAUUACUCGUGUGGUUGGACAUAGAGUUUCUCUUACGUAUAUAGUAGGUCUGAAUCUCUCAUCUUUUAUAUAUUUAUAAUGAAAAAAACUUGGGUGCAUCUUCUCAUA
Long non-coding RNA from Cucumis melo (muskmelon), 658 nucleotides. RefSeq lists it as uncharacterized. Lineage: Eukaryota; Viridiplantae; Streptophyta; Magnoliopsida; Cucurbitales; Cucurbitaceae. The transcript has 2 exons. The record is from RefSeq and is a predicted model, not a curated record.